UGGGCAACCUGCCCUCAGCUCUGGGAUAACUCCAAGAAUUGGGCUAAUACCGGAUAUGACUGCUGACCGCAUGGUCUGGUGGUGGAAAGAUUUAUCGGCUGGGGAUGGGCCCGCGGCCUAUCAGCUUGUUGGUGGGGUAGUGGCCUACCAAGGCGACGACGGGUAGCCGGCCUGAGAGGGUGACCGGCCACACUGGGACUGAGACACGGCCCAGACUCCGUACGGGA
RNAcentral lists this ribosomal RNA (227 nucleotides) under uncultured bacterium. Its description in RNAcentral is "partial 16S ribosomal RNA". It matches the Rfam family "Bacterial small subunit ribosomal RNA", at positions 118 to 346 of the family's 1533-position model. The record is from RNAcentral.